GAUGAACGCUGGCGGCAUGCUUAAUACAUGCAAGUCGGACGGGCAGACGUGUUUCUAGUGGCGCACGGGUGAGCAACGCGCAAGAAAGUGACCUGGGGAGGAGCAACAUAGAUGACAACGACAGCUACUAGCCCCCAGGGCUAAGAGCAAAAGGAGUAAUCCGCCCGAGGGGGGGCUAGCGACUGAUUAGCUAGCUGGUGAGGAAAUAGCUGACCGCGGCGCGGAAGAGUAGUUGGUACGAGAGGGUGAUCGGCCACACUGCGACGGAGACGCGGAGCAGACACCUACGGGAGGCAGGAGUGGGGAAGAUUCAGCAAUGGGGGGUGGGCUGACGGGGCCAUGCGGCGUGGAAGUAGAGGGACCACGGGUCGUGAACUGCUUUUCCCGCAGAAGACGCAAUGACGGUAUCUGGUGAAUAAGCAUCGGCUAACUCUGUG
This 437-nucleotide ribosomal RNA is filed under the name uncultured bacterium. Its description in RNAcentral is "partial 16S ribosomal RNA". It matches the Rfam family "Bacterial small subunit ribosomal RNA", at positions 28 to 507 of the family's 1533-position model. The record is from RNAcentral.